GAGUUUGAUCCUGGCUCAGGAUGAACGCUAGCGGCAGGCCUAAUACAUGCAAGUCGAACGCUCAGUAGCAAUACUGGGAGUGGCGCACGGGUGCGUAACGCGUACACAAUCUACCUCUAAGCGGGGGACACCUCCUGGAAACGGGGAUUAAUACCGCAUAAUAUGCCGAGGUCGCAUGACUUUGGUAUUAAAGCAGCAAUGCACUUAGAGAUGAGUGUGCGUCCCAUUAGGUAGUUGGUGAGGUAACGGCUCACCAAGCCUAUGAUGGGUAGCCGGUCUGAGAGGAUGGUCGGCCACACGGGCACUGAGACACGGGCCCGACUCCUACGGGAGGCAGCAGUAAGGAAUAUUGGUCAAUGGUGGAAACACUGAACCAGCCAUGCCGCGUGGAGGAAUAAUGUCCUACGGAUUGUAAACUCCUUUUGACGAGGAAGAAAGUGUUAGAGUUAUCUAAUUUUGACGGUACUCGUAGAAUAAGCACCGGCUAACUCCGUGCCAGCAGCCGCGGUAAU
Molecule: ribosomal RNA, 512 nt
Filed under: uncultured bacterium
Lineage: Bacteria
Description: bacterial SSU rRNA
Rfam family: Bacterial small subunit ribosomal RNA
Source: RNAcentral